UCCUAGAGAUAGGACGUUCCCCUUCGGGGGACAGAGUGACAGGUGGUGCAUGGUUGUCGUCAGCUCGUGUCGUGAGAUGUUGGGUUAAGUCCCGCAACGAGCGCAACCCUUGUCCUUAGUUGCCAGCAUUUAGUUGGGCACUCUAAGGAGACUGCCGGUGACAAACCGGAGGAAGGUGGGGAUGACGUCAAAUCAUCAUGCCCCUUAUGACCUGGGCUACACACGUGCUACAAUGGAUGGUACAAAGGGCUGCGAGACCGUGAGGUUUAGCCAAUCCCAUAAAACCAUUCUCAGUUCGGAUUGUAGGCUGCAACUCGCCUACAUGAAGCCGGAAUCGCUAGUAAUCGUGGAUCAGCAUGCCACGGUGAAUACGUUCCCGGGCCUUGUACACACCG
This 395-nucleotide ribosomal RNA is filed under the name uncultured Bacillus sp. RNAcentral describes it as "bacterial SSU rRNA". It matches the Rfam family "Bacterial small subunit ribosomal RNA", at positions 998 to 1392 of the family's 1533-position model. The record is from RNAcentral. Lineage: Bacteria; Bacillati; Bacillota; Bacilli; Caryophanales; Bacillaceae.